UGAGGAAUAUUGCGCAAUGGCCGAAAGGCUGACGCAGCGACGCCGCGUGAAGGAUGAAGUUCGUUAGAAUGUAAACUUCUUUUGUAGGGGAUGAAUGUGCCGUUUUGCGGCAUUGACCGUACCCUGCGAAUAAGGAUCGGCUAACUACGUGCCAGCAGCCGCGGUAAUACGUAGGUGGCAAGCGUUGUUCGGAAUUACUGGGCGUAAAGCGCGUGUAGGCGGCUCUUCAAGUCAGGCGUGAAAGCCCCAGGCUCAACCUGGGAAAUGCGUUUGAUACUGUCGAGCUAGAGUGUGGAAGGGGCGAUUGGAAUUCCGUGUGUAGCGGUGAAAUGCGUAGAUAUACGGAGGAACACCAGAGGCGAAGGCGGAUCGCUGGGCCAACACUGACGCUGAGACGCGAAAGCUAGGGUAGCAAA
RNAcentral lists this ribosomal RNA (416 nucleotides) under uncultured bacterium. RNAcentral describes it as "bacterial SSU rRNA". It matches the Rfam family "Bacterial small subunit ribosomal RNA", at positions 355 to 772 of the family's 1533-position model. The record is from RNAcentral.